Heterocephalus glaber (naked mole-rat) is the source of this 1695-nucleotide long non-coding RNA. NCBI's taxonomy places the organism in Eukaryota, Metazoa, Chordata, Mammalia, Rodentia, Bathyergidae. The record is from Ensembl.
UGUGCGUGUGAGUGCGCGCGCGCAAGUGAGCGGCGAGGCGGGAGGCGGCGCGGCUGGGGGAGCAGUCUCUGGGUGGGGGUGGGGCUCUGCUGGGCGGCCGCUCCCAUUCCCGUCCCCGCAGCUCGAGAGGUGAGCUCAGCCGGGUGUGGGGGAAGAGCCAGGGUGGUAUCCCGCACCCCAGCGCAAGGCGGAGCAGGGCCGACGGCCUGGGCAGCGCCAAUGGCCAGCGCGCGGGUCCGGGCAGGCUAGCGGGAAGGCGCCGCUCGCCGCGCCGGGUCACGUGGCGCGGUCACGUGGCGCGCAGCCGGACCGGCGGCGGCCGAGGGAGGCGGAGACUUGCCAGAGACGCGGGGGGAGGAGGCGGCGGUGCGGGGCUGCUGGAGGCGGAGGCGGAGAGGAGAGGAGAGCUGCGGGGCCGCUGCCACGGCCGCCCAGGAGAUUUGUAAGAUUCCAAGGCCUUCAAGCCAAGAUCAGCCUGAUGGUUCCUGAAAUAACUGGGAAAACAAAUGCUUCAAGUGCCAGUUGAAGAUUGUGUCUAUGUAUAUUCGAAACCUUCUUUCUAUAUAUACGCAUUUACAUGAGAAGACAGGCUCAUUCUUGUGCACAUUUGGGAGUUUUUCAACUGAUGAAAAUUAAUUUAAGAAUCAGAUGGAGCAACUUGACACUUCUGGGCGCAGGAGCCCAGGGAGAAAAGUAUAUCACUAAUGGCCAAUUUUCCAUAUGGCCUUCAUGGGUAAAGAGAAUUUGCAAAAAGAAGAAAAAAAUUUGCAUAGAUUAAGCCUCAAAAAUACCUCUCCAGUUUAAAGAAGGAAAUAAAUGAGAAGGUGAUCACAGAAGUGUGAAUUCAACAUUGCAGGUGGGAUCAUGCAGUGUUUUUUCACUUUAUUUUUUAUUAGGUUUAAUGAUUUGGACAGAGUUUAAAAUUCUGGACUGAAAAGUAACUUACUGUGGUUGUUACUGAAGGAAAGCAAGUUCAGGUGUGAUGGGACAAGUCUGAACAUUGAACUGAUUCCAUCACUUUGCCUUUUUCAGUUAACUGUAUUUGAGGAUUUUAAUUUAUUAUUUUCCUUUUCUGCACCUGUAGGAUAAUAUCUUAAAAUAGCAAUUGGAACCAAUAAUUACAAAAGUAAACAUCAAGGAAAACCCAAGCAAAGCUUCCUUUUGCCUGGAUGAAAGGCUGUGGAAACAAGCUCUGAAUGGGAACAAGAAGGUGCCCAUUGGCACAGUGACUCUAGGGAAAUGGUGCAAUCCUGGGGACUCUGAUACUAGCUUGGGUGUAUGGUUAGAGGGAUUGUCAGCUGUGUUGAGUCUAAGAACACUUGCAUAUGAGAAGAUUUGGACUUAAUGCUGAGAUUAUUUUUUUCAUUGAAAUGAAAAAGCACAUGAGCUUUAGGAAUAGAAAAGAGGAGAAGUAACUGGAAAGUGAGAAAGAGUCCAGCAAAAGAAACAAGAGUGUUACUCUGUUAGUCAGCAGAAUUAGGAUUACCUUAAGGCAAAUACUUGGUCUGCUUUAAUAGCUUUUUUCUCUGCCUCUGCUGACCUUGCUUUUUAGCCCCUAUGGCACUGAGGGGUCUGCUGGCUGGCAGAGGAAUUGUCCCAGGGAACCCUGCGUUCCUCGGGGACACAGGGCCCAGCAUUAAGAUAGGAAAUUUCUGGUUCUGAACAGUGAGGAAGAGUGUUUUUCUUCCUAAAAUU